RNAcentral lists this ribosomal RNA (439 nucleotides) under uncultured bacterium. Its description in RNAcentral is "bacterial SSU rRNA". It matches the Rfam family "Bacterial small subunit ribosomal RNA", at positions 81 to 518 of the family's 1533-position model. The record is from RNAcentral.
UACUUGGUGGCGACCGGCGCACGGGUGAGUAACGCGUAUGCAACCUACCUAUCAGAGGGGAAUAACCCGGCGAAAGUCGGACUAAUACCGCAGUAAAACAGGGGCACCGCAUGGUGAUAUUUGUUAAAGAAAUUCGCUGAUAGAUGGGCAUGCGUUCCAUUAGGUAGUUGGUGAGGUAACGGCUCACCAAGCCGACGAUGGAUAGGGGAACUGAGAGGUUGGCCCCCCACACUGGUACUGAGACACGGACCAGACUCCUACGGGAGGCAGCAGUGAGGAAUAUUGGUCAAUGGGCGGGAGCCUGAACCAGCCAAGUCGCGUGAAGGAAGAAGGAUCUAUGGUUCGUAAACUUCUUUUGCAGGGGAAUAAAGUGCAGGACGUGUCCUGUUUUGUAUGUACCCUGAGAAUAAGGAUCGGCUAACUCCGUGCCAGCAGCCGC